GGGGUAACGGAAGUAGCUUGCUACUAGACGACGACCGGCGCACGGGUGAGUAACGCGUAUGUAAUCUGCCUUGUACAGAGGGAUAGCCCAGAGAAAUUUGGAUUAAUACCUCAUAGUAUUACUGAAUCGCAUGAUUUGGUAAUUAAAGCUCCGGCGGUACAAGAUGAACAUGCGUGACAUUAGCUAGUUGGUAAGGUAACGGCUUACCAAGGCUACGAUGUCUAGGGGUUCUGAGAGGAUGAUCCCCCACACUGGUACUGAGACACGGACCAGACUCCUACGGGAGGCAGCAGUGAGGAAUAUUGGUCAAUGGACGCAAGUCUGAACCAGCCAUCCCGCGUGAAGGAUGACUGCCCUAUGGGUUGUAAACUUCUUUUAUAUGCAAAUAAACCUACUUUCGUGAAAGUAGCUGAAGGUAGCAUAUGAAUAAACACCGGCUAACUCCGUGCCAGCAGCCGCGGUAAUACGGAGGGUGUAAGCGUUAUCCGGAUUUAUUGGGUUUAAAGGGUACG
RNAcentral lists this ribosomal RNA (512 nucleotides) under uncultured bacterium. RNAcentral's name for it is "bacterial SSU rRNA". It matches the Rfam family "Bacterial small subunit ribosomal RNA", at positions 66 to 571 of the family's 1533-position model. The record is from RNAcentral.